CCUCCAGAGUGCAAGGAUCCUAGGCAGAGCUAUCCCGCCUGGCCAACCAUUUCUCUUUACAAGUUGAUGAACUCAGGAAAGACCGCUCAGUCUACUGUGUGUGUCCAGUCUGUACUACUUGGGCAGCCUCAUGUCAGCAAGGACUUCUCGGACUCUUCCCACGACUGAUGAUGCAAGGGACCUGGGACAGAUAAGGUAAAGGUACCUACAGUGUUUUCACCUUUUCUGUAGGCUGCUCAUCCUGCUCCCCACAGCUCCCGGGCCCCACUCACCAAU
Molecule: non-coding RNA, 276 nt
Organism: Peromyscus maniculatus bairdii (prairie deer mouse)
Lineage: Eukaryota; Metazoa; Chordata; Mammalia; Rodentia; Cricetidae
Source: RefSeq, a predicted model, not a curated record